UUAAUCGUAUAUGCACAUAAUAAUAAUAAUAAUAUUAUUAUGCAAAUUAUUCUUUAAAUAAAAAUUAUUCAAACCUUACUAUAAGUCCAAUUAAUAAAUAAUGGGCAGCCCAUUUAAAAUAAUUAAAUCAAGGACCUCCCCCUUUUUCUUAAAAAUUUUCGCAGCCCACUAUAAAAUGGGCAGCCCAAGUUAAUUAAACAAUAAUAGGGCCAUCUAUUAAAUAAUUGAAUUAAG
RNAcentral lists this long non-coding RNA (234 nucleotides) under Salvia miltiorrhiza (redroot sage). Its description in RNAcentral is "long non-coding RNA (SMIL_LNC013180)". The record is from RNAcentral. Lineage: Eukaryota; Viridiplantae; Streptophyta; Magnoliopsida; Lamiales; Lamiaceae.